This 468-nucleotide ribosomal RNA is filed under the name uncultured bacterium. RNAcentral describes it as "partial 16S ribosomal RNA". It matches the Rfam family "Bacterial small subunit ribosomal RNA", at positions 28 to 507 of the family's 1533-position model. The record is from RNAcentral.
GACGAACGCUGGCGGCGUGCUUAACACAUGCAAGUCGAACGGAAAGGCCCUGCUUUUGUGGGGUGCUCGAGUGGCGAACGGGUGAGUAACACGUGAGUAACCUGCCCUUGACUUUGGGAUAACUUCAGGAAACUGGGGCUAAUACCGGAUAGGAGCUCCUGCUGCAUGGUGGGGGUUGGAAAGUUUCGGCGGUUGGGGAUGGACUCGCGGCUUAUCAGCUUGUUGGUGGGGUAGUGGCUUACCAAGGGUUUGACGGGUAGCCGGCCUGAGAAGGUGACCGGCCACCUUGGGACUGAGAUACGGCCCAGACUCCUACGGGAGGCAGCAGUGGGGAAUAUUGCACAAUGGGCGGAAGCCUGAUGCAGCAACGCCGCGUGCGGGAUGACGGCCUUCGGGUUGUAAACCGCUUUCGCCUGUGACGAAGCGUGAGUGACGGUAAUGGGUAAAGAAGCACCGGCUAACUACGUG